UAAGCAGAAGCCAUUUAGGGUUUUAUCAUGAUGUGACGAUUAACAUGUUUCGCUACGCUUCUCUCUUGCCCUUUCGUGCUCUCUCUCUCUCUCUCAUUUUUCUUAUGUAUGUGUUUGCGUGUUUUAAAUCUUGUUUUCUCAUUUGAUGCCUCUUGAUAGAAACCUUAAAUACAAUAAUUGUUUUUGGUUUCUUGAAAAUAUUUUUUCGUUUGCAAGAGGCUUAGAGUUUGAGCAGAAAUUGAGUCGCUGCGCCUCUGUUCUCCACAGGCGUAGUGAAUUAUACCCUGCCAAAUCUAUCUUUCCUAUCUUCUUUCUAGUUGUGAAAUAAUCUUUGUUUUGGAUCAGUGUGUAUCUGACGCGGGGAUCCUAUGAUGGCAUGUAAUCUUUGAGACCUGAUUAUUUUCACUGGAUGACAACUACCAAGCAUAAUUGCUGAGGACCCCUUCGUUAUUACGUUAGUUAUUAAUGAUGAUUUUCCAUUGAUGGGUUUUUCUUCUCUUGUGGUGAUUUUGUUUUACACCAUGACUUUUACUUUGAUUAGGUUUUUGUAAGGACUGUUUGAUGCGGAGAUGAUGAAUAUGCACUGGGCUCUGAGCAAGCUGUUUAUCAGCUGCUUAAUUGAUGCACAAUUGCCGCCUAGAAAGCUAUGUCUGAUCUGUUUUUAUUUUAAAUCGUUUCUUUUUUCAUUUUUUGUUGUCCAUGGAAGGGUGAUGUACCAUGUCGAAGUCCAGACGCUGUCGAUCCUCACCUGAUACUGGAAAUGGAAUCUUACCUGAAUACUCCAAUGAAUAUAGAGAACUUUUAUGGGCAAAAUUUAACAAAUUGAGGGAGGACGAUUCCAUGACUUGCAAUGCAUAAAAAUGCGACCUCGGUGAAAUUUGUCAAAAAAAUUCCCGCAACGGAUGCCAAUAUGCAAGUUUGUGUUCAUGCGAAAGAGGCCGAAUUAUGUUAAUUACGCCACAAAUAUGCUCAAAGAAUAUUGCCGAACUGUUCAAAUGUGCUUCUUGUAACCGGUGAUCAUACAACAAAGAAAGAAGACAGAUCUACAAGCUGUUCCUCAAGGCGCUGUUAUUUAAACCAAAAAUAAAAUCAACAGAACAAUUCUGCAAGUCUGAAUUCCGAGGCGCUAUUCUAGACAUGGGUGACUUACAUCUAUGUUCACCGAGGGGGGUUUUAGAUACUCUGUAGCAAUUGUCCUGAGAUUCACAACCAUAAAGAUAAUUCACCAACUGCAGUUUACACACGUCCAACUCGACUAGAACUAGUAAUCUGCCGCUAAAAUAAAAUCUUGUAAGUACUUGCUAAUGAACUUUUUCUAUGAUUUUUAAUGGAUAUUCAUAUGCCAGAAAUAGGUUUUAUGAA
This is a long non-coding RNA of Populus nigra (black poplar), 1362 nucleotides long. RefSeq lists it as uncharacterized. The record is from RefSeq and is a predicted model, not a curated record. NCBI's taxonomy places the organism in Eukaryota, Viridiplantae, Streptophyta, Magnoliopsida, Malpighiales, Salicaceae. The transcript is spliced from 2 exons.